AAAAGCUUGUAUUUAAAAAUGUUUUAAAAAUACUUUUAAUUAAUAUUUGAAUUUUUAUUCCUUUAUUAAUAUAUGUGAGGGGUAGAGGGUGUCACACGUUCUACUAAAGCAACUGCCCCAUCCACCCUUGUUGAGGCAAGAGAGGAAGAAGUAUUGGAUGAUGAUGGGGAAGAAGAAAGAGAGGCACUAGAUCUACUGAAUAUGUUGAAGAAAGAGGAAGAGAUGCUUUCUGCUGUUAAAGAUAGACAAUCCAAGGUAGUACAAUGCUUGGUGUGUCAAAUACUUCAUGAAGCACUGUUGUGUGUACCCUAGUCAGUAAGGAUGGGGAUAAGGAGUUCUCUAGAGAUGUUUUUGAUGAACGUGCCAAGAAAGCAGAAGCUUGGCAUUGUGAUUCUGCAGUUUGUGGAUAAAUAUAUUACUUACUCAAAGGAAGAAGAAGCAAUUCAAUGCAUUCAAAAUGUGCAUGGAUUCCUUUUGGAGGGUAGACCUUUAAGGGCUUGUUUUGGAACCACUAAAUAUUGUCAUGCAUGGCUCAGAAACAUGGCUUGUAAAUUACUAAUUCCUUAUGAAUUAUAAUUUGUUCUUUCAUUAGUUAAAGCUUGAUUGGAGAUAGAUCUUGAUGACCAGCCUUGUAGCAAUCCAGAUUGUCUAUAUCUUCAUGAGAUUGGCUCUCAAGAGGAUAGUUUCACAAAAGAUGAAAUAAUUUCAGCAUACACUAGGCAUUUUUCUAAUCUUAAAUGAGCUUUCAUGCAAGGCCUGUUAUGAUUCUGUUGAAAGAUAGAAUCUAUUGCUUAUAUGAUCCAGGCAUACUUGGAUAAAGUAAAGGAGAGUACUUUACCUUAUCUUGUUAAGAAGAAUGUUUCUUGUCCUGGUCAUGUUAGCAUUACAUAUUAGCUUUCAGUUUUAAAUUAACAUUGAUGGAUAUGUCAUCUGCCAUACCUUUUUAUGAUACUAAAUUAUGAGUUUCAUAGCUGAAACUUUUAUUUGCUUAAUCAUGUUGACUCUGGUUAAAUAUUUAUAAGAACAUGAAACCUUAUGCCU
Glycine soja is the source of this 1041-nucleotide long non-coding RNA. RefSeq lists it as uncharacterized. The transcript is spliced from 5 exons. Lineage: Eukaryota; Viridiplantae; Streptophyta; Magnoliopsida; Fabales; Fabaceae. The record is from RefSeq and is a predicted model, not a curated record.